Long non-coding RNA from Amphiprion ocellaris (clown anemonefish), 550 nucleotides. The record is from Ensembl. NCBI's taxonomy places the organism in Eukaryota, Metazoa, Chordata, Actinopteri, Pomacentridae.
GUUUGGGAAGCCGCCGAAGCGAGCUCAUGCUCGAUUUUUGCUGCUUCCUAACAAUCUGCUGGCACUCUUUGGCUCAGACUGCGUCUUUGGCCCCACACCGCGGGGAGGCUAAGAGUGAGUGUGAGACAGAGGGAGAGUGAGAGGGAGAGAACCGGAGAGUGAGGCUAAACGUGAGUGAAAAAGGGGGAAAGUCUGGGAAAGACUGAGAGGAAAAAUGCUCGGGGAGGGGGGCCGAGUCAGAAAAAUAGGCAGAUAUGUAACACCAAAAACACUUAGAAAAUAAUCCUCCCUUCGUGCCCCUGGUACCACAGUGCUUUCCUAUGGAGCCAGGCUAGAGGGCGCGGGGAGGCUAAGAGUGAGUGUGAGACAGAGGGAGAGUGAGAGGGAGAGAACCGGAGAGUGAGGCUAAACGUGAGUGAAAAAGGGGGAAAGUCUGGGAAAGACUGAGAGGAAAAAUGCUCGGGGAGGGGGGCCGAGUCAGAAAAAUAGGCAGGUUGGUGGCAAAUGAAAAAAAAAUGGAGAAAUUGCCAGAUAUGUAACACCAAGAACA